Nannospalax galili (Upper Galilee mountains blind mole rat) is the source of this 102-nucleotide small nuclear RNA. Lineage: Eukaryota; Metazoa; Chordata; Mammalia; Rodentia; Spalacidae. The record is from Ensembl.
GUGCUCACUUCAGCAGCACAUGUACUAAAAUUGGAACAACACAGGGAUUAACAUGAUCUCUGAGUAAGGAUGACACACAAAGUUGAAGCAUUGCAUAUUUUU